Molecule: long non-coding RNA, 279 nt
Organism: Fukomys damarensis (Damara mole-rat)
Lineage: Eukaryota; Metazoa; Chordata; Mammalia; Rodentia; Bathyergidae
Exons: 2
Source: RefSeq, a predicted model, not a curated record
CAAGACUCUACUCUGUCCCCUUCCAUCCCAUCGCAGGGCAGGUUCAUUGCUCUCCUUCUUCUAAGGGAGCUUUUUUUAGUUCGCUGAUACUCUGACCCCUAAAGCCCAGCUGACCCUGAGGGACUGCCUUUUCCAUGGCUGGCAAAUUUCGAGAGAUAGUAGACAGUCUGCCUAUGAACACUUGGAACAGCACUUUAAACCAAACAAUUCAGAGCCCAUGAUCCCAUCACCUCUUCUGCUGGGAUGUCACACUCGGUGCCACUCUUCCCUUGCUCUAAU